Molecule: unclassified non-coding RNA, 205 nt
Filed under: Hevea brasiliensis (rubber tree)
Lineage: Eukaryota; Viridiplantae; Streptophyta; Magnoliopsida; Malpighiales; Euphorbiaceae
Source: RNAcentral
GUCUCUCAAUUCGUGCUUUUGUUUCAUACAGUGAUGGUGUCGAGAUGAAGGUAUAAAUGAUGUAAAGUGGGAAGCCACGAAAAAGGAGAUAAAGAAUCUAUUCUCUUCAUAUAAGAUGCCAUUUGGCGAAAAAAUAGCUUGCACUUGGCAAUGUUGUGUUAAUCUAUUUUUCAGUUUCAUGUAUAGAUUACAUAGAUCGGUAAAA